AUCCAGUCAUCAUCGACAUGUAACGCUGUAUGUCUGCGUGCGUUAAGCCUCAAAACGCACUUUGGAAUCAAUGACUUUGCAAAGACAACAUAGAAGUAAACAGCGUUGAUUAUAUUACUUUUUGUCGAGUGAAAUAAAGUAAUAGAAGACUAUAACCAUGGAAAGAAUUACGAGAAACUUCCCAAACCGUGUUGUAAAUAACCUACUAAUAAAGACUUUAUUUAGAAAUGCGUACGUCUGAAAGUCCAAGUAGCAUUUUGACUGAACAUUUGUAACAUUUUGUAACUGCACGUUGUCUUGAAAUAUUUUGUUUUCAUUAUUUUUUUAAAUUUUGUUUUCGUUUCGUUCUUCCGGUCACGUCACGUCACUUCCGACAAAACCAAACAGAAGCACGAGUAUAUAGCUGGAAAGUAAUAUUGAAGUUAUUAAGAUGCUUCAAAGAACUUAUCCAACUUAGUUUUAAGCAGUUUUCCACCGUAACCUGGGAGCCAGCUUGUUUGUUGUCUGGAUUAUCUUGGAUUGUGUUUAUUUACCCUCAAGUCAUGAGUAACGUGCGAUGGACACCGAUAAACGCAAAUGCAGUUCAAAUGAAAGCUUGAGAAGUUCAGCACCAAGUGUUUCUCCCAUAUUUGGUAAUUCUUGCAAAGAUCUCUGGCACAGCACUCCAGUUAAAAAGCAGAACCAUGUCAGAGCCCCGGCAGAGGUCCGUUCUCCAUCCACCCGGCUCACUCCAGGGGGUGGCACAACCUGCAGCCGUCAUGUCUCCCCUGAGCAUAGCGCCAUCUGUAGGCCGCAGCUCCAGAAGGUGACGGCGGGCGCGGCGGUGAAGGCAGCAGUGGCGGGCGGGGCCAUGGCGGCGGGGGUAACCACGGGAGCGGCGGUAACCACGGUGACGGCGGAAAGCGGCGUGGUGCAGAAACAGCGGCGGGAGCUGCAGCUGCUGAUGGUGGAGCUGAAGGACCGGGAUCAGGAGCUGAAUGUCAUGGUGACCGCCCACCACAAGCAGCUCCAGGCCUGGGAACAGGACCGCCAGAGAGUCCUCACCUUGGAGCAGAGGAGCGCACAGCUGGAGGCCGAGCUGCAGAAGCGGAAGGAGGUGAUCCAGGCGCUGACGCAGCAGCUGCGCAUCGCAGAGGCGCGUCAGAGGGACGAGCGCGCGGAGCUCGGCAGCACACGGCUGCAGCUGCAGCAGCUCACCCAGCAGCACCUGCAGGCCAGCAGCCACUGCCAGGAGCUGGAGGAGAGAAGCCAGAGCCUGAACGCCACCAUCCUGGAGCUGUCCUCUCAGGUGGGCCGUCUGCAGGCACGCGAGGAGGAGCUCACCGCCAUGCUCAGCCUGAAGGAUAAGGACGUGCUGAAGGCCACAGACCUGAUCGUGGAGCUGUCGGGGCGGUUCCAGAAGCUGGAGGGAGCUCUGAAGGAGCAGCGCUCGCGGGAGGCCCGGGCCCUGAGGGAGGCCGAGGAGCUGAACCGCCACUGCAGGGAAAGCAGGGUGGAGAACGCCCAGAUCAGAGAGGAGCUGGGGGAGAAGAGAGAGGAGAACAUCCGGCUGAAACAGGAGAACGAGAGGCUGCAGCGGGAGCUGGCUGAAACAGGUGAAGAUGAGAGCCGGAAGGACGAGCUGCUGAAGCUGGCCCGGUCCAAACAGGACCGCACAGAGUCCGAACUGCAGUGCCUGCGUCAGGUGUGUGAGAACCAGCAGAACGACCUGCAGCUGCUGCAGCUGAACCUGGAGAGCGCACAGGAGACACUGAUCCAACACAGGACCCAGGCGUCGCUGGGGAGUCAGGGGGACCUGGCCUCCCUGUUCCUGGACUGCCCCGCCCUGUCACCCAGGAGUGGGCGGAGCCCUGGCCUCACAAACGGCCCCUCCCCAUCCAGAGCCUCCCCCCGUGUCGUUGCUAACGGACACCUGGGAACCCAGCAACGGUCGCCUGACAGCACUCUUGACGGGCGGCUCUCCCCAACGAGCUGUCUAGAGCGUCUGCUGGCUAAGUCCCAGGAGAUGGUGGCCAGCCUAGAGCUUGGCUCCGCCCACAUCCACACGGACCAAUCAGCACGCAUUCCCUUGUAUGACCCCGCCCCCAAGCGGGGUAGCCGCGAGACAGCCAAGGAUGCUACUGCAUGCGUAAAUGCGAAUGCUACUGCCCGUUCACUCUCAGAGCUCCCACGUGUUUCAGAAGAAGAAACUGUGGCCUGGCUUCUCGUGGUCAUUGAAGGUGAAUGGAUGCAGCUUCUGUUGGGAUGCACUGUGGAGGAUUAUGAUUGUAUGUAAAAUGAAGGGUCUUUUUUCUUUUUUUUUUUUUAACAGAGCUCUGAAUUCAGUUUUUGCAUUUGAGGCAUUUAGCAGGUGCUCCAAAGUUGCUCACAUCCAUUUAUAGAGAUGGAUGCUUACUGGAGUAAUUCGGGUUAAGUACCAUGUUCAAUGGUACAACAGCAGUGUCCUACCUGGACAUGAAACCUACAGCAUUGGAGAGGCAAGCUCAGAUUCUUCCUAGUCAAUAGGCUCAAUAUCCACCUCAGUGCUGAUCCUCAUUGUAUGUGUAGUCAGCAUAUCAUUUUGUCAUUCAUAACUUGUAUUUCUUUCCAUUUUUAUUUUGUUAUAAUGGAGCCAAUACAGCCAACUACUGGUGCACGUCGAUGCAGGUGACCUCAAACAAGUUUCUGCUCAUGAAAGCUUAAGAAGUGCACUUUGUGAUGAAGUUGGAAUAAUCAGGAAGUUCAGCCAUGUUUAGUAGAUGAGAUCUUUGUGAAGGAUGCAAAUGAGCUAACUGAUGUUCGCUUCAAACCUGCAGUUCUGAACCAUUGGGACACAACAGGAAGCCAUUUUGUUGACGGCGCCAAUAAAACUGUGUGACCCAAGCGCAUCAGAUGGGCUGAGCCAAUGGGGAGAAUCCACAGGGGCGGGGACCUGGUCUUCGUGUGGGUGCUGUAGAGGUGGACCCAGCACAAGACAGCACACCUGUGGAGUAUCAAAAGUGGACACCUGACCGAACCCAACAGCCACCCUGCCCUGCCAGCAAGGCCAGCCACUCUGCAUUUAUCCAGCAUGGCGGCCUGAAAACCAAAGAAACCAUUUAGCGGUCAUCUCCAAGUCAGAGUUGCUUAGGCAACGUGAAAGUCUUUUAAAACACCUGUUUGCGCUCACACACACGUGGGUACAUUUCUUAAGCCAGGAGCUAGUCUUUGGACAAAUUAUAACUCUUAUUGUAUGACCGAUGAAAAUAAACCUAGCACUCAUACUAUAAUUGUUCCAUAAGAAUAAUGCAUUGUCUCCAGCCAGUGUUCGUAAGGCCUAUGCAAGUUUCAAACGGGUCACCCCUAUGUUCUCAUGUAAAUAUCUGCAUUCAGGCUAAGUGAAAAUGUUAGUGUACUAUUUUACUUCCUGCCAAAAGUAUGUUGAAAGGCAAAUUGGUGACUUAGGCUGAGUAAUUCUUCAGUGUUGAACUGCAUUUUACAGAACCAUUGUGUCCUACAAUUGACUGGUUUCUUAAAAAUGCAUUAUAUUAUAUGAAGCAACUAACUAGAUUGUGACCGAAUUUGAAUCAGUUGUCAUGUAAACUAGUUUUUCAGGAAGGGGUUUUGUUGUAUUCGUCAUGUUCCAGUUUUGGUGGCUGUAAACCUGCCCGAUGGCUAAAGCAGCUGAAUCCAGCCUCUUGGGAAACCACAUUUGCGGGGGGAAAAUACCAACGUUUACACUCAGCUCUUUGUAUUUUUAUACAUGCCAAACUGUAGACACUAAAGCUUAUUCUACUGCAGAUAUUGGUGUUUUUUUAAAACUUGACUAUUUAAGGAGAACUCAGGUCAAAAUGUAGAAAUGGCAGUGUUGUAAAUUAUGCAAUCAGACAUUCGUGUUCAUGAUAGGUCUGAGUGCUGAGCUGGUUUUCAGAUGUAGUUUGCCUGUGGAGAUGGUGAUCAUUUGGGAUUGUUGUCAGAAGCAACAUUCCUUUGUAUUGCACUGGUGUAGUCAUGCCAUUCUCAAGACUAUAGAAGAAUGUGACAUUUUAAAAUGUUCUCUUUGUCUUUUACUUUUGUAUUUUUCUAAAUGUUUGUAUUUUAAUUGAAUUGAAUUUAAGUCAAGUGUUAGUACAUUGAGAAGUACCAAUAAUAACAAUAACAUUACUUCACUUUUAUUUUGGGCUGCUAACAUAUCGAGGAGCAGUUGACAGUUCCAAACCGACAGUAUUCUGUGUAGUGACUGCAUAACAUUUUUUACCUAGAUUUUAUAAGGGUGUUUGUAUAAGCAUUUCUAAAUGUGUCUAUUUUACAACUUUAUUUUCUGUACGUUAGCACUGUGGAGGUGGUUAAUACUGAAUUUUAUUAUUAAAAUAAAAUAACUACAAAGCAAUAA
Molecule: RNA transcript, 4351 nt
Organism: Conger conger (European conger)
Lineage: Eukaryota; Metazoa; Chordata; Actinopteri; Anguilliformes; Congridae
Gene: ccdc62
Gene name: coiled-coil domain containing 62
Exons: 16
Source: RefSeq, a predicted model, not a curated record